Molecule: long non-coding RNA, 5900 nt
Organism: Lynx canadensis (Canada lynx)
Lineage: Eukaryota; Metazoa; Chordata; Mammalia; Carnivora; Felidae
Exons: 9
Source: RefSeq, a predicted model, not a curated record
CUUCGGAGCUCUUUGCUGGAAAGCCCAACCGCCUGUUUUUCUGCAGGCCGGGAUUGCUGUGAGAGGGAAUGCGGAUUGCCCCCUGGAACAAGGCAAGACUCUGAUCGCCAUCAAAAUAAGAGGAUUGAGAAUAUGAGGCAAACGACAAUGGUCCGUCCUCUGGGGGUUCGCUUUCUGCGGUUUCGGGUACCUGCAGCCACGCCCAGUCGGGAAGCAGGUGAUCCAUCCUCCUCCUGACAAAUUGGCGGACGAUCCAUAGCGCCUAACGCCACGUCUCAGCGCCUUCCGUCGUCCACCUGCCUUCGUCUCAUUGUCUCAUCGCGUAGGCAUGUAAUCAUCUCACAUCACUGCAAGAAGGGCCUGUCCCAUGAGAACACUGGAACAUCUGGUUGAUGUCUGCACCUGGAAAAGGCUGAAGCAACCGACUGGCAAAAAUCCUGCACACAUGACUCUCAGCAUGGAUAUAGAUGAGAAAACUAAAGCUCAGAGAGGUCAAGCAACUUUCCCAGGACCCCUCGGCUAGUUAGUGCAAGAACUGAAUAUAAACCCACGUCUACCCACGCAACUCCAGCGCCUUCCCCCUAAAUCAACCUUUUUUUCUGGAUUGCUUGUUUUUUUUUUUGUUUUUUUUUUUUUUUUUUUUUUUUUUGUUCAUUGUGGAGACCUGAAGAAGAAUCCGGUGGUCCUCGGUCCUGAAAAGGGUCUACCAGAAUUCAGAGGAUCUUGUGUCUCUUGCAUUCAAAGCCAUGGCUCCUGGCAGCAGGGACCUGGGCCUCACCACGUGCACCACGCGUCGCUGGCUUCCAGGUGCCAGGGGCUUGGGCCGAGGCCACACAGUUGUCUGCACGGGGCCCGGCCCCACCGCUGGCUGUCUGGAGUGAGCGCCCGGGUUGGAUCCUCUCCGUCUGCCAGGCUGUUUCCCUCAUCCAUCUGCCUUGUUGGCUUUUAAUGCAGGCAGGAAACAAAACUGAAAAAAGAGGAAAUCGAUGCUUCACAGAAAAGGGACAACAUCUUCCUUUAGCCAGUGGGGGUGUGAGGAGGGGCGCGGUGACUAAGGUUUGCGGGGCGCUGUUCCCCGCUGGUGAGGGGCUACAGAAGCCAGCUGCGGAUCGGGCUGUGCCACCGGUGCCUGCGAGUGGCUGAUGCGGAGGCCUCUUGGCGGCUGGGGGAGGCGGCACGAGCUGUCAGCUCCGAGCAGGAAGCCAACCCAGCCCGCGGCACCCGGAGGGCGAACAGUUGAAUGAAACACACACUUGGUGAGGAUGUUCGGCUUACAGAUGUCACUAAGCUGAAGCCGUGAUCGCUAGGAGCCAAUAAAUCGCGGCUUGCGGCAUUGGACCCCACCGACCUGACGCUCUCUUUCCUCACCUGCGGCCGAGAAGGGAUACGGGAUAAGCCGCUUCUUGGCCACAAGUCCUGGGAAUACUAUUUUGUGUUUGGAAACUGCCAGAGAAUCACUGAUGAGCCAGUCCAUUGCGCCGAGUACGUUGGUCGUGGUGGGCUCCCUUCGGUGACUGAGGCGGAAGCCAGGGAGAGCACAAGUUCUGGUGGAAUGAACUUCACCCUUGCUUGGGAAUCAACAUGGGAAAUACAAUAGGGCGCAUUUGAGAAACAGUAUCCCCGAUGUCUACGAAAGGCCAGGCUGGCCGGGAGAAGCUACUUGCAGACUUCCACAGCCAGCACUCAGAAGUGGAGAACAUUGUUUUGGAGUCAAAGAGACGGGCCCCAGAGGCAGGCAGGAAGAGUAUCAGACUCAGCAACAUUGCCAGCUUCCACAAACCAGCUGAUGACCCAUGUGAGCCCAGAAUGGAAAAGACUGUCACAUGUUGGGUGCCUGGCCUGGACCUCACAUCAGGUGGUAUCGAUCCCAGAUUCGUCUCCCGAGGCCCUUCCAAUACGCUUACCUACCUGGAGCCUCUCGCUGGGACAGGCACAAAGAACAGGACCUAAGAAUUCCAUUUCUAAGAAUAAUUUUGUGUAAGGAAAACCUCCCAGUGAAAAUGGUCUGAUGAAAUGUGCUUAGUUUGGCUUUGGCCGAGCUCCUCGUCGUCCUAAACGAGUGCACAAAAACACGCACAAACAAUAUUUGCUGCUGCCUAAAAAGUGUAACCCCGCAUUUACGGCAAAAGCAAUGGAGGAGAUUGAGAAGUGGAGACCGGCCCCUAAGAAGAGCUCCGCUUACAGAAAAGAGGGCCGAAGGAGGUGUGGACUGCUGCCACCAAGCGGUGAGCCACGUAAGCCUGAUGGCUGCCAAGAGCCCUCACUUAUCGGGAACCCAGCCUGGUCCCUGGGGAAGGUGGACAGGAAGAGGAGGAAAGUGAAGAAGACGCCAGUGCCGCCAAAGUCACCGUUAGGAAAAGACGCGUCCUAAAGCCGAAUGCGCUUUUUUUUCGGAGAACGCCGCAUCGGGACCUCAUUGGUGCUGUUUUAAGGCCCGAUUCUAACAAGCUUAGUUUUCAAACCCUACAGCACGUUAGAAUCAAGGAAUUAGCACGCGAAGAAAGCCAGUGAACACACUACAUAUUUAUUUUAGUCUUAACAAACACCAGUAGCAACCAACGCGACACUGGUUACGGACUCAACUUUAAGGAUGAUGAAACAGGUUCAGAGAAGGUCAGCCAGUAAGUGAUCAAGUCUGUCUUCACAUUCAGGGUUCUGGCCUCAGAGCUCAUGUCUCUUCCUUUUCUCCCCCUCGCCUUUCCAAAGACAGGCACGCCGAGAAGCAAGCCUUCAUGGCAGCACAAUGACAGGACAAGGGCGGGAGACAGCAUGGAAUCAGUAUUGAAAAUUUGCCGCACCCUGGGAUGAUCCGGUAUAGAGGAAAAUGGCCUCCUCGGUUCCCAAAUGCGUCUGUUUUAGAGGAUAGUCGUCAUUGAUUUGCAUCAAUAUGUCCAAAUGCGCCAACUUUCUCGGUGUAAAGAGUAGGGAGAAAGAAUCCUGGGGGGGAUACAGGUUCAGGGGAUCCAGGCGUAGCUUUGCCUUUCACUGGCUGUGGGAACGUAGCCAUGUUACAUCACCUCAUCGCGCCUCUGUUUCCUCAUCUGAAAAAUUAACAUAAUUAUUCCGCCUACCUCAUGGAGCUGGUUCAGGAGGAUUCAAUGAGGCAAUUCGUAGAAAUAGUUAAAGCUGUACCUGACGCUUAGGAGGCAUGACUUAUGAAGCAUAGACGCUUUAGAGAGGUAAACGCUUACCUCCCGAAAGGACUAAAUCUGACUUCUUAUUUAAAUUGCUCAUCUGUCCAUUCAUUCAUUCAACACACAUUCACUAAGUCCAUAUUAUGAGCCAGCAGCGGGUGGCCACCAGGCAAACAAAUAUAAAUAAAUUACCGCUCUUCACCAGUAGGAGCUCAGACGUGUAAACAACAAAUCUGCCGCGAUGAGGGAGGUGCUGGGAGAGCAUUUCUGCGGGAACACGGAUACGGGAACGUGCAGCCUCCUACCUCGCCCUGGAGGAGUCAGGAUGGCCGCCCGGAAGUGAGGUUCCACAGAAGGUGAAGAGGGAAAGGGCAUUCCAAUGGAGGACACAGCAUGUUUAAGCAAAGACCCAAAUGGAGGAAGAGCAGACCCCUAUGGAGUAGGAGUCAUCAUAAUUCCCAUAUUUCAGAAGAGGAAACAGAAGAGUAGAGAGUUUAAGGACUAUACUCAGAUUACACAGCUGGUGAGUGCUGGACCUGGGAUUCACCCUGUGACCAUGUAAACACAACGUUGCCCUGGUUGUGAAUAAAUAGCAGUAACAAGAACAAAGACUUCUGACUUUUCAGGUGAAAUCCGUCUUGGGACCCAUAACCCACUUGGUUUCAACCCCUGAGAGACAGUUUUCUGGUACCAGUCUAGACCACUUGGCAUUGAAGCAAAUAGGAACAUACUUACACUCACAUUCACACACGCACGCACACAUAUGCUCCCAGGCCCACUUUGGAGUGGACUUACCCCCUUUCUGAGGCCUGAACUUAUACCUACUGAAGAACACAAUGCAAAGGCGGUAAAAUGUGGUGGUUUCUCAAGCAAUUCUCUAUUAUGAAAUGGAAUGAGAACGUUGCCAUGAUGUAAAUUCCAGGGAUAUUACAUGAAAGAGCCAGCUACUGUUUUGUAUAGUGAUUGGUCCUCCUUGGAAGAAUUUCAAAUGGUUAUUAUUCAUUGGCAUAGCCUCGGGGAAGAUGAGGGGGAUGAAAAAAAAUUGUAAGUGAGAGCCCUUGAGGCUUUUUAUCAGGCACCACCUUGUCAUAAACACAAUGAGAUUGGGUUUCCUGGGUGUUCUCAGGGCUCAUUAUGCAACAAGCCCCUGGCUCUGUCCUUCCCAGAAAAAGUCCAGAAGCCACUCUUGCAAUGUAGUCUCCCCGCUGACCUCAGCAGGGCAUGGACAGCCAGGGCUCGGAGUGUGAUUCUCAUAGUCCUGGGAUGGAAAGAGGACUCAGUGUGGAAGGGAAAACAAUGAAGGAGAACACACCAUCAGGCGACUGUGUCCACCACCUCCUUCUCCUACCAUUUCUCGGAUUCCUGACCUCAGCCGUGGGCAGCAGUAGCCUUUGUAAGGAGAAAACCAAGACUCAAGCUCUAAUGAAUGGACUGACAGGUGAUUCAAAAGAGGUGUCCUACUCCUUUUAUCAUGUGAGAAUGGAAGUCUUCAACCAGAAGAGGACCCUCACCCCCUCACCCAACCAUACUGGCACCUUGAUCUUGGACUUCCAGCCUCCAGAACUGUGAAAAAUAGAUUUCUGUGGUUUAUAAGCCAAAAAAAAAAAGGUAUUAUAUGGAAUAUGUCAACCAGAAAUGUGAAGAACCAAAAAAAUGGGGAAGAAGUCAUGAAAAGAGACUUAUCGUUAGUGAAAGGAAAAUGACAACCCUGAGAGGGGAGGGGUUGGCUGUGGCUGAUACACCACAACCUGCCACGUCAGUGACAGCAGUGCUGUGAGAAUAGGCAAGUCCCCAAAUCGCACUGGUUUGGCAUCACGUUUAUUGUUUGCUUAAAGACCAGUCUCAGGGAAUCCUUUGCUAACAGCCUUCCACACAGAAUUUCACGGAGCCAGCCAGAUGAUGGAGGGUGACAGAGAACUUGCAACAUCACGGGUGUUCAUGGGCCAGGCCCGAGUGUCACACAUCACUCUCGCCUACAUUCCUGACCUGGAACCGAGCCAGCGUGGACCCACGCAGAUACCAGGACAGCCACUUCCCAGCCAUGACUCUACGCUGUAGAAGGGAAGCCUGAAUCUUCAGUGGGUAGCCGGUGCCUUCACCACACCUGCACGCAUAUUACGAUAUAACGAAUGAACUUCAAAAGAUUGAGAGAGUCCCACUCUCCAAUCAGUCACUCAUUUCAAGGAAGCACUCACAUGGCAUGCGAUUUACAGCAGGACUGCUUUAUCCCGAGGGUCAAACCACUGAGAAGGGAACCUGUGAGUUUACUGUAAUUUGUGACCUAAAUUAUGUUUCUUGUGAAUACCACUCUUUUUAUGGUGCUCUAAUUUUGAAACAUUUUCUGUUAGAUCCUAGGUGCCUGGAAAUGUUACUGUAUUAAUCACUUUCAGAAUUAGCAUUUUUUUAAUGGUAAAUCGAAGUUUGUCAGGAUGCUUUAUUACGGUAUCGUGGACACUUCCUUUGGUUGAUAUAUAUUGUAGAGACGUGACAAAGACAGUAAGACUCAUAUCCGUAUCUAUGUGGUGUCUGUGUUUUUAAGACACUUCAAAUUAAAAAGGGGUUUGCAUUUAAUGAAUCUUUAAAUGAUUUCCUUUGUGUCUUGAGCUGUCAUCCUGAUCAUUUGCCCUGUAGUUCUUGUUAAGCAGCAGUAGCAGAAGCCCUCAGACAUAGAAUAGAGGGGGCUAUCUUCUGUCCGCCUGGAAUGUGUUCAUCUGUGGUCAUGAGGGGUCCUCUGUAAGCAGAUAGUGGGAGCAGGGCAUUACCAAA